AAGUCGUAACAAGGUUUCCGUAGGUGAACCUGCGGAAGGAUCAUUAAAGAGUUAGGGUCCUAGUGGCCCAACCUCCAACCCUCUGUUGUUAAAACUACCUUGUUGCUUUGGCGGGACCGUUCGGUCUCCGAGCGCGUUAAUGUCGGAUGCGCGCCGCAGUCACCAACAUCUUGUAUUAAACCAGUCGUCUGAGUAUAAAAUUUUAAUUAAAUUAAAA
Molecule: unclassified non-coding RNA, 217 nt
Filed under: plant metagenome
Description: partial contains small subunit ribosomal RNA and internal transcribed spacer 1
Rfam family: Eukaryotic small subunit ribosomal RNA (bases 1-46)
Source: RNAcentral